Long non-coding RNA from Xiphophorus couchianus (Monterrey platyfish), 1154 nucleotides. RefSeq lists it as uncharacterized. Lineage: Eukaryota; Metazoa; Chordata; Actinopteri; Cyprinodontiformes; Poeciliidae. The record is from RefSeq and is a predicted model, not a curated record. The transcript is spliced from 2 exons.
GUGUUUGCUAAUUGCAGCUGGCUAGUCUGAAGGAGCCGAGUGGUGGAGUCGCCGGGAGGACUCUUGGAAGCUGCAGCCCGGAGGACGAGCUUUGUCUUGAAGAUGGCGUUGGGUCCAGGAGUUUAACACAGCCGAAUGUCUCCCAUGUGACGGGAGACAUUCAGCUGUGACUGAUGUUAAACUCCAAGGGCCUGUUCUUACAGGAUUCCAAAUAGGGAACACUCAAUUGUGUAAAAAAUUUGUUUCAUACCAACCAGUAAAUAAACUUUGAGGGGGGCGGGUUUUUGUCUAUUAAAUUGCAUGGCACAGUAAUAAAGUUCAAUCAUGGUGUGUUUUUUCUCUUUGGUUUUAUUGCAUAAAUAUCCUCAGCAGUCCAGCUGAACCAACCCGUCCCCUGCACACACCUACUGAGAGAACCCUUCUCUUGUCCAAUCACCGCUGACAGCCACCAGGUCUCUGUGACUUUGCAAGGAUAAACGGGUAUAGAUGACAGGUGGACGGAUGAUUAAUCAAUAUAUCUCCAACCAUUUAUUUCAUUCUCAUACUGCGAGUUCGGUGAUGGUUCCCAGAGCUGCUAGGAGGUCUUAGUGAAAGGGUUCCUCCGCUGAGGAACCAGGACCCAGAUUCUGUCCUUUAGAGAGACGCUGUGCCUGCUGACUUGGGAUAAAAUCCUGUCCCUUAAAGCUUACAGUCAGAGUGGCUCAUCUCUGUGGUGAAUAGAAUGGGUAAAAAGAUUCAAUUUAUAUAUAGCACUUUUCCAGUACUACUGAUCAUCCAAAGCAUCCUGCAAAAAAGGCUUCAGGAUUUCUGCUAUGUUGUCAUGCAACAGCCUGCAUAUGAACUUUUUGCUAUUAUUUCUAACUUUCAUCGAACUUUAAUUUUAAGCCUAAACCCUUAAGGCUACCCAUAUCCUAACCCUAUUCUUUACAUAGCUAACCUUAACCCUAACCAAAACUCAAUUCACACGUUAGUCCUAAAUCUAACCCCUGACCUUUGGUCCCCACAAGGAGCAGUGGGUCCCCACCACGUAGUAUGUCAGGAAAAUGGUCCCCACAAGGUAUUACAAACAAACACACACACACACUUUGUGUAAUAUUUGAUAAAAUCUCUGGUGUAAUUCUCCAAGCAAAUUGAUACUUUGGUUGAGAUUAGAU